GUUAGGAAUAUUGGACAAUGGGGGGAACCCUGAUCCAGCCAUGCCGCGUGUGUGAAGAAGGCCUUUUGGUUGUAAAGCACUUUAAGCGAGGAGGAGGCUACCGAGAUUAAUACUCUUGGAUAGUGGACGUUACUCGCAGAAUAAGCACCGGCUAACUCUGUGCCAGCAGCCGCGGUAAUACAGAGGGUGCAAGCGUUAAUCGGAUUUACUGGGCGUAAAGCGCGCGUAGGUGGCCAAUUAAGUCAAAUGUGAAAUCCCCGAGCUUAACUUGGGAAUUGCAUUCGAUACUGGUUGGCUAGAGUAUGGGAGAGGAUGGUAGAAUUCCAGGUGUAGCGGUGAAAUGCGUAGAGAUCUGGAGGAAUACCGAUGGCGAAGGCAGCCAUCUGGCCUAAUACUGACACUGAGGUGCGAAAGCAUGGGGAGCAAACAGGAUUAGAUACCCCAGUAGUCC
RNAcentral lists this ribosomal RNA (451 nucleotides) under uncultured bacterium. RNAcentral's name for it is "partial 16S ribosomal RNA". It matches the Rfam family "Bacterial small subunit ribosomal RNA", at positions 354 to 796 of the family's 1533-position model. The record is from RNAcentral.